This 468-nucleotide ribosomal RNA is filed under the name uncultured bacterium. RNAcentral's name for it is "partial 16S ribosomal RNA". It matches the Rfam family "Bacterial small subunit ribosomal RNA", at positions 28 to 507 of the family's 1533-position model. The record is from RNAcentral.
GACGAACGCUGGCGGCGUGCUUAACACAUGCAAGUCGAACGGAAAGGCCCUGCUUUUGUGGGGUGCUCGAGUGGCGAACGGGUGAGUAACACGUGAGUAACCUGCCCUUGACUUUGGGAUAACUUCAGGAAACUGGGGCUAAUACCGGAUAGGAGCUCCUGCUGCAUGGUGGGGGUUGGAAAGUUUCGGCGGUUGGGGAUGGACUCGCGGCUUAUCAGCUUGUUGGUGGGGUAGUGGCUUACCAAGGCUUUGACGGGUAGCCGGCCUGAGAGGGUGACCGGCCACAUUGGGACUGAGAUACGGCCCAGACUCAUACGGGAGGCAGCAGUGGGGAAUAUUGCACAAUGGGCGGAAGCCUGAUGCAGCAACGCCGCGUGCUGGAUGACGGCCUUCGGGUUGUAAACCGCUUUCGCCUGUGACGAAGCGUGAGUGACGGUAAUGGGUAAAGAAGCACCGGCUAACUACGUG